Paramuricea clavata is the source of this 82-nucleotide non-coding RNA. Lineage: Eukaryota; Metazoa; Cnidaria; Anthozoa; Malacalcyonacea; Plexauridae. The record is from the annotation of a GenBank genome assembly.
GGUAGCGUGGCCGAAUGGUCUAUGGGGCUGGUUUUAGGCACCAGCCAUUUCGAUGACGUGGGUUCGAAAUCCACCAGUUCCG